RNAcentral lists this ribosomal RNA (449 nucleotides) under uncultured bacterium. RNAcentral's name for it is "partial 16S ribosomal RNA". It matches the Rfam family "Bacterial small subunit ribosomal RNA", at positions 29 to 523 of the family's 1533-position model. The record is from RNAcentral.
AACGAACGCUGGCGGCAUGCCUAACACAUGCAAGUCGAACGAGAUCUUCGGGUCUAGUGGCGCACGGGUGCGUAACGCGUGGGAAUCUGCCCUUUGGUUAGGAAUAACAGUUGGAAACGACUGCUAAUACCGGAUGAUGACGAAAGUCCAAAGAUUUAUCGCCAGAGGAUGAGCCCGCGUAGGAUUAGCUAGUUGGUGUGGUAAAGGCGCACAAAGGCGACGAUCCUUAGCUGGUCUGAGAGGAUGAUCAGCCACACUGGGACUGAGACACGGCCCAGACUCCUACGGGAGGCAGCAGUGGGGAAUAUUGGACAAUGGGCGAAAGCCUGAGCCAGCAAUGCCGCGUGAGUGAUGAAGGCCUUAGGGUUGUAAAGCUCUUUUACCCGGGAUGAUAAUGACAGUACCGUGAGAAUAAGCUCCGGCUAACUCCGUGCCAGCAGCCGCCGUAA